AUUGAACGCUGGCGGCAGGCCUAACACAUGCAAGUCGAGCGGAUGAAGGGAGCUUGCUCCUGGAUUCAGCGGCGGACGGGUGAGUAAUGCCUAGGAAUCUGCCUGGUAGUGGGGGAUAACGUCCGGAAACGGGCGCUAAUACCGCAUACGUCCUGAGGGAGAAAGUGGGGGAUCUUCGGACCUCACGCUAUCAGAUGAGCCUAGGUCGGAUUAGCUAGUUGGUGGGGUAAAGGCCUACCAAGGCGACGAUCCGUAACUGGUCUGAGAGGAUGAUCAGUCACACUGAGACGAAGAGGCGGUCCAGACGCGGAGGGAGGGAAGCAGUGGGGAAUAGAAGACAAUGGGCGGACGCCGGAUCGAGCCAGGCGGCGUGGGUGAUGAAUGCAUUGGGAUUGUAAAGCACUUUAGGUGGGGAGGAAGGACAUUAAGUUAAUACCUGGCUUUUGGGACUUAACCAUAAGAAAAAGCACCGCCUAACGGCGCGCAAGCAGCUGCGUUAAUGGACAAAGAGCACCGUCUGAAC
RNAcentral lists this ribosomal RNA (523 nucleotides) under uncultured bacterium. RNAcentral's name for it is "partial 16S ribosomal RNA". It matches the Rfam family "Bacterial small subunit ribosomal RNA", at positions 33 to 541 of the family's 1533-position model. The record is from RNAcentral.